This 268-nucleotide long non-coding RNA is filed under the name Capsicum annuum. Its description in RNAcentral is "long non-coding RNA (CANN_LNC004359)". The record is from RNAcentral. Lineage: Eukaryota; Viridiplantae; Streptophyta; Magnoliopsida; Solanales; Solanaceae.
UUGCUUCUUAUCUUAUCUUUCCAGCUGGCAUUGUGUCUUCUUUUAUUCUAGAUGUACUUCUGGAAUAAUGUUAUCUUCUCCAUUACAUCUUGAACAUUGGUGAUCUGGAUAUUUGUGUCCGAUUAUUUUACAAUAUCUUGUCAGUAGUCCGUCUGAAAUAAAUCCUUUUUUAAUUGCUCUUUCGGUAGAUUGUUUUUCUGGGUUAAGUAAUGUCAUUAUCCAUUGUCUGACAUCUUCCAUAUCUGCUUGUCGUAGCUCUUUUGAAUUA